Long non-coding RNA from Leptonychotes weddellii (Weddell seal), 516 nucleotides. RefSeq lists it as uncharacterized. NCBI's taxonomy places the organism in Eukaryota, Metazoa, Chordata, Mammalia, Carnivora, Phocidae. The record is from RefSeq and is a predicted model, not a curated record.
CAGUGUGGAGCUUGGACAGUUGUAAGAUGUGUUGUGUGGGCUGAAUUAGUUGUUGUACAAUUCCUGUCUAUCUCAUUGAAUACAGCUUUCAGCAGCCCCUCGUGCCAAGUUUGAGUCCAAUUAAACUACAAUGAAAGCCCUGAAGAUGGCUGCCUGCAGGGAAGGAUCCGACGCCACCCGAGGUCUCAGGAAGUGUUUCCGACCACACAAAUGGAAAAUGCUCGAGAAGAGCACAACUGGCCCUGAAACAAAACUAAGGCCCAGGUGGUGAGAACGACCCCAGCUGGCUGAGAACCGAAGGUCAAAGAGGCCCUGGGUCUGGCUGAGUGUGCCAAACUCUGAAUCCCAGAAGCUUAAAAUAUAAUCAGAGUUCCUCCUACCAGCUCAGGGAACCACGGAUCUCCUAGUAUUCCUUCAGGGAAAAAAAAAAAAAAAAUUACAGAAAAAGCCCAACAUAAAACUAGAAGAGAUCAGUUUAAUGAUAUAUGCGUAAAAAAUAAUCAAGAUCAAAACACA